This is a non-coding RNA of Trichonephila inaurata madagascariensis, 84 nucleotides long. Lineage: Eukaryota; Metazoa; Arthropoda; Arachnida; Araneae; Nephilidae. The record is from the annotation of a GenBank genome assembly.
GACGAGGUGGCCGAGUGGUUAAGGCGAUGGACUGCUAGUCCAUUGGGUUUCUUGCCUUACGUGGGUUCGAACUCAUCCUCGCCG